GCUGGGCGCAGUGGCACAUGCCUGUAAUCCCAGCAGCUUGGGAAGCUGAGGCAGGAGGAUCUCGAGUUCAAAGCCAGCCUCAGCAACUUAGUGAGACCCUAUUUCUA
Molecule: small RNA, 107 nt
Filed under: Marmota monax (woodchuck)
Lineage: Eukaryota; Metazoa; Chordata; Mammalia; Rodentia; Sciuridae
Source: RNAcentral